GGAUACUGAGCGAAGGACUGUAUGUUGCAGAUGGCCUGCACCAGGUAGCUUCCCUGGGAGCAGUCAGAAGUCCAAAGCUCUGAUGCGACAUCUCUGGAGACCUGCAGACAGGAAGGGGUCUCAUGUAAGAAGAGAGAUCCACAGACAACACCAGGCAACCUCUGUGUGGUCAAGAUUCCUUGUAAUUUCACCAUGCUUACAUACAUGCGUGGAGGCCCUAAGCCACCAUGCACAGCCAGAGCAAAUCCACAGAUUCAGAAAUCCCUGUUCAUGAAGACUAACCAGGAGUAUUUUUGCAUUAAAGAGGUCUGCACCCCAUCCCCACCAUGGGAAAAUUCUGAAGAGAGCUGAAGAAUAGUGAAAGGAGAUAAAAGGAAAGGAGGUGUGAAAGCAAGAGUGGAUGGAUGGAUUGAUGGAUGACAGUACAUAUCUGCACUGGCAGAUCAGCAGAUGGGAUGCAUUUGGGGACAGGCAGAUGCAGAAGUAUACAGAGGCAAGAAUUUUUGUUAAGUAGAUGGAUAGAUGGACAAACAAGUGGAUGGAAGAAUGGAUGGGUGGAUGAAUGGAUGGGUGGAUGGAUGACUUAGAAGGUGGAGGGAUCCAUUUUUGAAGAGAUGAGUGGGUACCCAUCAUAAACAGUAGAGUGUUAAUAUGGCUGCACAAGAGAUUGCACCUGUGAAGUAUAUUCUUGAAGUAACACGCAAGGGCAGACUGAAAGGCCAGGCAACGUGGAGGAACAUAGCAGAGAGAGAAAUGAAGCCAGGGUCCAUGGUGGCAGAGCAAAUAAAUCCCAGAAAGGCAC
RNAcentral lists this long non-coding RNA (802 nucleotides) under Gallus gallus (chicken). RNAcentral describes it as "long non-coding RNA NONGGAT005478". Lineage: Eukaryota; Metazoa; Chordata; Aves; Galliformes; Phasianidae. The record is from RNAcentral.